UGCCUGUGAUGUUCUAACAUUUGUCCGUACCAUCUGAGAAAUUUUUUUUUCCUGAUGUAUUCUCUCUAAGUUUUAUUUCUGAGGCAU
This 87-nucleotide small nucleolar RNA is filed under the name Gossypium hirsutum (cotton). RNAcentral describes it as "small nucleolar RNA snoR117". It matches the Rfam family "small nucleolar RNA snoR117". The record is from Rfam by way of RNAcentral. Lineage: Eukaryota; Viridiplantae; Streptophyta; Magnoliopsida; Malvales; Malvaceae.